AGUAAGCUUUAUUCGAUCAUUUAAUUGAGAAUUAUAUAUGAUGAUGAUCAAUCUAUUGAAUCAACUUAGUUAUUUUGAUCAUCAGCUACGGUUAUGACCCUUUCGGUCUGGGAAAGAAGCCGGAGAACUUCGAAAAGUACCAAGCAUUUGAGCUGCUCCAUUGCCGUUGGGCUAUGCUCGGAGCUGCCGGUGCAAUAAUCCCUGAAGCAUUCAACAAAUUCGGUGCAUCAUGUGGUCCUGAAGCAGUAUGGUUCAAGACCGGUGCUCUCCUCCUCGACGGAAAUACUUUGAAUUACUUCGGAAAAAGC
This 308-nucleotide long non-coding RNA is filed under the name Zostera marina. RNAcentral's name for it is "long non-coding RNA (ZMAR_LNC005732)". Lineage: Eukaryota; Viridiplantae; Streptophyta; Magnoliopsida; Alismatales; Zosteraceae. The record is from RNAcentral.